AUUACAAUAUUAAAGGUAUGUUAUUUUCCAUAACUUAAAUCUGUUUAAUUUUUGAUUUUGAGAAAUCAAAAUCUCAUUUUUCUCCCAAAUUUGUCGAUGGACUCCGGUCAAAGUGUCCGAAGUCGAUUGACCGUAUCCGGGACGUUUCCCGCUCCAGCACCCAUCCAAGUCUCGUAUUAGGACGGGGACGGCACCAAAAUUGAAGAGUCCGUGCAACUUAGGUAAGGUCUGCGUACACACUACCCUCCCCAGACCCCACGAGUGGGAUUUUAGUGGGUUGUUGUUGUUGUUAUAUAGGUACCCCAGGUCAUUUACCAUGUUCCUCAAAAAUCAUUUGCACCUAGACCCAAGUACAGCGUUUGCAACCAACAAACGAUAUGCUAGCCAUAUGAAAGUAUCAAUGGAAGAAUGUGACUAAAGGCGAGAUGAUCAUAAGCAGCAGUAUGCAUACAUCUUAGAAUUAAUUAUGUACGUUAAGACGUUAAGUACAUGUAAAAGCUGGCACUACUCUAACCAGAGACUACAGUGAAAAGAAGGAACCUGGAAAGCAUGGGAGAAAAAUCUAAUUGAUAUUAAACAUGGUACAAUGAGCCCUAUAUAUAUAUAUACACAUAACCUAUCCUACU
This 626-nucleotide long non-coding RNA is filed under the name Nicotiana benthamiana. Its description in RNAcentral is "long non-coding RNA (NBEN_LNC008683)". The record is from RNAcentral. Lineage: Eukaryota; Viridiplantae; Streptophyta; Magnoliopsida; Solanales; Solanaceae.